AGGGUUUGGAUCCUGGCUCAGAAUGAACGUUGGCGGCAUGGAUUAGGCAUGCAAGUCGAGCGAGAAGGUUUCUUUUGCUUGCAUUAGAAACCGGACAGCGGCGUAAGGGAGAGUAACGCGUAGAAACGUACCCCGAGGUCCGGGAUAGCGGCGGGAAACCGCCGGUAAUACCGGAUAAUGUCUCCGGACCAAAGUUUUUCGCCUCGGGAGCGGUCUGCGUCCUAUUAGCUUGUUGGUGGGGUAAUGGCCUACCAAGGCUAAGAUGGGUAGCGGGCGUGAGAGCGUGACCCGUCUCACUGGGACUGGGACACUGCCCAGACACCUACGGGUGGCUGCAGUCGAGAAUCUUCCGCAAUGGACGAAAAGUCUGACGGANCANUGCCGCGUGCGGGAUGAAAGCCNUUCGGG
Molecule: ribosomal RNA, 408 nt
Filed under: uncultured Planctomycetota bacterium
Lineage: Bacteria; Pseudomonadati; Planctomycetota
Description: bacterial SSU rRNA
Rfam family: Bacterial small subunit ribosomal RNA
Source: RNAcentral